CAGGCCUGAGACGGCGCAGUCGAGCACCACGAGCAGUCGAGACCCCGCAGCUGCAGGCCGUAGUGGAGGCGACGGCGGCGACGGCGGGGCGGUGCGAGACGACGGCGACGCGACCGACUCCAACCCUACGUCCUUCCCCUUCUUCGUCCUUCUCGCCGAUCUCUCCUCCACCAUUUAGAGUUGGGGAAGGUGAACCUCCGCCUUCUUGGGAUCCAGUACCAACUCCAGAAGUUCUACAAUGAGUCUAUCACUGCGAGAUCGCAUUAGAAAGAGGAGGGAGGAGGAAGAUGAUGACAUGAUGCUAUUUAUUUUCCCUGCCUUAUAUCUUAUGAGUUCUGUUAGAGGGGGAGAAAGGAGGAAACGCCAUACUUCGGAAGAAACAGGCGAGGCACAUGGCUUUGACAGUUCUUAAAAGAUAUUGCUGGGAGCUUGUUGUUUUGCUUCAUACGAUUAAGUGGAGUAUUGGAAGGCUAGAUUACGUUCUUUUUUGAUUUUUGCAUUUAAUGGAGUUUUGAUCUGGUUGAUGUUGCCUUUGGGUAUUUUUGUAAUUUAUAUUUUGGAUCUAGGAAGCAUUUCAAGUUUAAACAUAAUAUUAGCACUUUGAGUC
Molecule: long non-coding RNA, 607 nt
Organism: Sorghum bicolor (sorghum)
Lineage: Eukaryota; Viridiplantae; Streptophyta; Magnoliopsida; Poales; Poaceae
Exons: 4
Source: RefSeq, a predicted model, not a curated record